UUGAUGAUCUGUCACGGGACGCUCACGAGGUCACGUUUUCUUCCUGGGAGUCCUGCCUACAGCCUCUGGUCACAGGAUGGGCUAUUCAUUGUGCACAGGGGCUACUUCUGAAGGACAGAGAUAACUGGUGUCUUGGCUUCUUCUCCUGGGCCAGCUAGGAUGGCUGUGACCACCCCAGGCCCUGGCUCUCUCAAAGCCUAGGAUGGACUGUGUGAAGUGUCUAAACCGUUACCAGCUCUGGCAGGUAAGUCUGGUUGUGGUUGCCUGACGUCUCCAAAGUCAUAGAGCUGCUGAGAGGCACAGGAG
Bos taurus (domestic cattle) is the source of this 306-nucleotide long non-coding RNA. Lineage: Eukaryota; Metazoa; Chordata; Mammalia; Artiodactyla; Bovidae. The record is from Ensembl.